Molecule: long non-coding RNA, 762 nt
Filed under: Anser brachyrhynchus (Pink-footed goose)
Lineage: Eukaryota; Metazoa; Chordata; Aves; Anseriformes; Anatidae
Description: lncRNA (ENSABRG00000001199.1)
Source: RNAcentral
AAAUUACCAUCUGAUCAUCAUCAGAUCAUCGUGUCAGAUCAGUAAAUUACCAUCUCAGCAAAGAAGGCCCUUUCAGUUACAUACUAUGUAGAAAAGUACAAGGAUUACUAAAGGGCUGUAACUUAUGCAAAAAAAAAAUGAAGAGCUAAAAAGGUAAAUAGUAUCAGAAGUACAUACUCAUAAUUUUAACUAUAUGUAGUAUUUAUUUGUUUAAUGAUAAGUCUGUAACAAUCAUUUCUUAUGAAGGCAGAGAAAGUGAUGUCUGAUCAAAUUUGAAUCCAAGAGAAGAUGAGUCUUCCAUUUGUAAUGCAGGCAAGAGGAGCUGGUGGGAGCAGCAAACGGGGAAGAUGGUGGAAGAAGCUUGGUAACCAGCCAGGGCAGUUCACUGGUACCUGAUUCUCUACUCACUACAGAAGGGAUGAGCCUGUCCUCAUGGCGCUGAACUUCCCCAGCAUCACAUCUGGAAUAAGAUGGCAUCCUUCCUUUGACACUGAAAUGGCCAGCAGCUCUUCAAAGGGGCUCUGAACCCGGAGAAGAGGCCAAUAUAUAUUUGGAGGGAUCUUUUGUGAAAGCACCAUACCAGACACCUUCUUUCCUCCAAGCAAACAACCAUUCCUAUAACAGUGAGCAAGGAACAUUCUGAAACCGAUCCUCUUUCUCUGCAUCUGAGCUGGUGAGGGAGACAAGAUACUUCUGGUAGCCUGUGAAGAGAGUCAGGUAUCUGCAGAAAUAAACCUAUAUUUUUUAAUAUUUUAAAAUUCA